GAUGAACGCUGGCGGCGUGCCUAAUACAUGCAAGUCGAGCGAACAGAUAAGGAGCUUGCUCCUUUGACGUUAGCGGCGGACGGGUGAGUAACACGUGGGUAACCUACCUAUAAGACUGGAAUAACUCCGGGAAACCGGGGCUAAUGCCGGAUAACAUUUAGAACCGCAUGGCUCUAAAGUGAAAGAUGGUUUUGCUAUCACUUAUAGAUGGACCCGCGCCGUAUUAGCUAGUUGGUAAGGUAACGGCUUACCAAGGCAACGAUACGUAGCCGACCUGAGAGGGUGAUCGGCCACACUGGAACUGAGACACGGUCCAGACUCCUACGGGAGGCAGCAGUAGGGAAUCUUCCGCAAUGGGCGAAAGCCUGACGGAGCAACGCCGCGUGAGUGAUGAAGGUCUUCGGAUCGUAAAACUCUGUUAUUAGGGAAGAACAAAUGUGUAAGUAACUGUGCACGUCUUGACGGUACCUAAUCAGAAAGCCACGGCUAACUACGUG
RNAcentral lists this ribosomal RNA (497 nucleotides) under uncultured bacterium. RNAcentral's name for it is "partial 16S ribosomal RNA". It matches the Rfam family "Bacterial small subunit ribosomal RNA", at positions 28 to 507 of the family's 1533-position model. The record is from RNAcentral.